This 751-nucleotide long non-coding RNA is filed under the name Prunus dulcis (almond). RNAcentral's name for it is "sRNA ncRNA". The record is from RNAcentral. Lineage: Eukaryota; Viridiplantae; Streptophyta; Magnoliopsida; Rosales; Rosaceae.
GAGUUUUGAGAAACAUGAUUUGGAUUUGACUAAAAUGCUAAAUUUACUACAAAAACUAAGAAACAAUGUAUUUGAAAUAACUUUAUACAAUAAGUAUUGGGAUAAAAUGUUUUGUAUUUCUCAGUAUUUGGAAUCGCUCCACACAAUCAAGAAUAUCCAAUCAGGUCAGUCAAUAUCAGAAAUGUUACAUUUCCAUAGAGUCGCUAUAAAGGUAUCAUUUUUCAAAAUAACAGGGCAAUGUUACAACACUGUCAUAUUUGAAUUACAUUUCAACAGCAGAAACUUAGGAGAUGAGAAAAUGAUAGUAGGAACUAUAAAGAAGAAAAACAUGCUUCAACUUCGACCACUUGGUUUUGCUCUUACAACACUAAAGUUUAACCACACAAAAUCAUUUCCCGUUUAACUUAUACGAGGAUCUAAAGGCACACAAACAUCUAGCAAAGAAUAGUAACAGCUGUACUCUGUAAAUAAAGCUGCAGUCGACCCAACUUUUUUAUUUGGAUUAAAUGGGUACUCCAACUAAAGAUAUGAAAUUGACUGAUUAUUGAAUUUCGGCGUUCAUAGUAUAACAUUUAUACUAGUGAUUGCACUGUUACCCAAAUAACUUCUAUUACCUCUAGUGAUCAUACCCUAAUCACCAAUUUAGUACUUUCACUAGCCUAGUAUGAAUGAAUAAUUAACUACCAGACUUGAUUACAAUUAGUAUGAUUAACUACCAGAGGACCAUAGCAUUAACAAUACAAACCUGUAC